UACAGAGGGGGCAAGCGUUGUUCGGAAUUACUGGGCGUAAAGGGCGCGUAGGCGGCCUGCUAAGUCGAACGUGAAAUCCCUGGGCUUAACCCAGGAACUGCGUCCGAUACUGGCAGGCUUGAAUCCGGGAGAGGGAUGCGGAAUUCCAGGUGUAGCGGUGAAAUGCGUAGAUAUCGUAAGGAAGACCAGUGGCGAAGGCGAGUCUCUGGACAGCAACUGACGCUGAGGCACGAAGGCCAGGGGAGCAAACGGG
This 253-nucleotide ribosomal RNA is filed under the name uncultured bacterium. RNAcentral describes it as "partial 16S ribosomal RNA". It matches the Rfam family "Bacterial small subunit ribosomal RNA", at positions 524 to 776 of the family's 1533-position model. The record is from RNAcentral.